GCGGACCCGCGCCCCGCGCCUCCUUCGCCUGAACAGGGCUGCCCCGGGGGGUCUCGGCGGCGGAGAGGCAAGAAAGACGCCCAUGCUCCAGUUCCCAAGAGCAGGAAUUAUGUCUGAGAUUUUACCCUGGACUUUCCCCGGAUCUCUCAUUCUCUACAGCCAGACCCUUUCCUGUGGAACAUACAGAAAGUGUAUCCCCAAGCCCUCAGCUGCCAGGCACAAAAGGUUUAACAUCUUCUACCAAGGCCUGCCCUAUUUACCUCAAAAAGAACUAAGAAUGCUGCUUUCCUGAAAAAACAAACACACAAACCUCCGCGGCCGCCCCCGACCCCCUCCGUAAGCCCCCUCUGCAAGUGGAAUACAGUCUGAACUACUUUCACAGUUGGAAACCAGCUUACCAUUCUAACCUUCUAUCUGCUCAACACCUGUGUUCCAGUUAUACUGUGUUGGGCCAAUUGCCGUUCUUUGAAUAUAUCCUGGAUGUUUAAUGCCCCUGUGUGAUUUGCUCACUCUGUUCAUUUAUUCUGGAUUUCUCUUCAUCCCCAUCUUUACCUGUUGAAUUGUUCCCAAACCUUCAAGAGCCUACUGAGAUGCCUUCUUCUUUAACAAUGUUCUUCCAGAAAUUCCCAGUCAAAUCUGAGAGAUCAAUUAACUUCUCUUUCCCAACACUCUGUGCUUCUAUUACAACACUUACUAAGUUGGUCUGUAUGUUACAGCUGGCUGUGUCCUCUUGGCUCCCCACUGUCAUAGCCUGCAAGGCAUAAUAUGUUUCUGACUCAACUUAAAUCCCAUGGCAAUUGGCAACAUGCGUUUUAAAAUGAAUAACCAUCCUUUGGAUGUAUAUAAACUUUGCUUAUUGUAAAAAUUCAAAUAAAUAAAAGUAUAAGGAAGGAAAUAAACCA
RNAcentral lists this long non-coding RNA (902 nucleotides) under Bos mutus (wild yak). Its description in RNAcentral is "lncRNA (ENSBMUG00000026483.1)". Lineage: Eukaryota; Metazoa; Chordata; Mammalia; Artiodactyla; Bovidae. The record is from RNAcentral.